AGAAGGACAGGAGAACGGGGAGGAGAGAGGAAGUGCCAGCUGGCCCACUUCCAUUGCUACAGGGACAGGCAUGAGUUCAUGGGGGGCGGGGGGGGGGGGGACUGAUGCUAGAGGCUUCCUCUGAUGGCUGAGAAUGACCUUUUGUAUGCAGGAAAGGACCUAGGCCUGGACCCACCACCUCCCUGACGUGGAGGAAAGCCGGGAAGAGAGAAACCCAGGCUGACAGACAGGAAGGAGUCUUAUCUCUGAGAGGACUCCCGGUGCGGAUGAGCCCCGGUGGGGCGCCCUCUGCCGGUGGACCUGUGACCCGCUCUAACGUAGGCAACUGCAAACCUAACCCAAGAGUACGAACGGUAGAAUCUCUGCCUCUGGGUUUCUGCUCAGCAGUGAGAGGAGCUUGGAAACUGCCCAGCCAGAGUGGAACGAAGAUCACGAAAUUAAAUGGGCUGCUCGCGGUUGCCUGAAGGUCUAGAAAAUCCCUGUGCUUCGGGUCGAAAUUCACCCUGGAAAGAGUCCUGAGUACAGGCGCACAGAAAGCACAGAUGUCGGGAAGAAUUUAUGGGUGGUACCCCCAGGACGCCAACGGGCUACUUGGGGUUUACUAUACUGCUUUUCUGUGAACUUAAAAAACGCAUAGCUGUUUGCCUAAGUUGCUAUACCCUCUGGGAGGCAAGCAUGAGUAUAUUGGCAGGAAUCACUGUGCGUUCUGAACCCUUAGCUGCGAUGCGAACUUAGUUCAUUCGGUGCAGCCGGGUUCCUGGAAGCGCCACCUCACACUCCGCAACCCGCCCGGGUGUUUGCAAAAUGUGUUAUCCGGAUCCUUAUAUUCUCUGUCUCAAGUGCCUAAGACUCAAAAACCAGACCAAACUAUACCGCCCGAGUGGAGAAAGUGUGGGAUAUGACACUAGAGGGAGGUACCAAAAUUGGUAGGAAUAACAGACAUCCCAGACCUCUGUUUCCAGCGUUUUGUUCAGUGUCUGGG
RNAcentral lists this long non-coding RNA (982 nucleotides) under Mus spicilegus (steppe mouse). RNAcentral describes it as "lncRNA (ENSMSIG00000018212.1)". The record is from RNAcentral. Lineage: Eukaryota; Metazoa; Chordata; Mammalia; Rodentia; Muridae.